This is a long non-coding RNA of Argiope bruennichi, 4396 nucleotides long. RefSeq lists it as uncharacterized. The record is from RefSeq and is a predicted model, not a curated record. The transcript is spliced from 5 exons. Lineage: Eukaryota; Metazoa; Arthropoda; Arachnida; Araneae; Araneidae.
UAUAUAAUAAUAUAAACUAUAAAAUAAUUUCAAAGUUUUAAGACGUUUAUAAUAUUAAAUGAAACAACUCAACUUUGUAUUGAAACGAUAUUUGUAACGAAAACGAUGAUUUUUGUUUUUAUGUGAAUGGCAACAGUGUGAACAAACAAGCAAAAAUGGAUGUUGAGUUUUGGGAUUUAUUUAACUAAGGGAGGGAUUUAUUUUAAGGUUGGGAUUUAUUUUAACUAACCUGUUUUAUUAUAAUUUGGACUAAAUAUUUUGGUCACCUGCUUACGUGAUACGGAAACAGAUGAGUCGUGGGUAUUAAAAAUGAUAUAAUUAAAUUUGAGAUCAUGGUUACGGAGGAUAUAUUGAGAAAAUGAAAGUGUAUUCACACUGCGUUUACGAAAAUCGUAAUUUGAAAAAAGAAGUGCCAAAUAGCGAAGUUGUAAAAAAGAAAUGUUUAACUUUAGAUCGUAUUUAGAAUGAAUUAAAAUACUGUCAUGAUAUAAUUAUGAAUAAUAUCGGAACAGAUGAAGAUUUUAAAAUGAAUAUGUUAAAAUGGAAGAAUAGGGAAAAAAUAGUUUUAGUGAGAGUAAAAAAUGAAAACUUCUUCAAUAAGAUGUGUUCAAUAAGAUCGAAAGCACAGCUGAAUCAGUAAUUUCAUCGCCAAAUGAAAUCGAAAUAUACGCCGACCAAAAAAUUGAAUUUCUACAUUUUAAUGAAGAUUUGAAGGACUAUUUAGGAUUUUAGAGCCAAUUUCAAAGGAUAUUUACUGAUGAGGAUUUCGAGCCGGAUGAUAAAUUUGAAUAUUUAUUACAGUGAAUUAUGCAAGGAAAUUGAGGGCGCGAAGUUAUUGAAAGUUUCCCUCCAACUUCAGAAAACUAUGAAAAGGCGAUUGAAUCUAUAAAGAACAGAUUUGAGAGAGAAGAAUUGUUGAUAGAAUUUUAUGUGAGCGAGUUAUUAGCUCUCGUCAUACAGAAUGAACAGAAAAACAAGGUGCAAGUCAAAUAUUUCAAAGUUCUAAGAAGUGUAUAGUAUUAAAUGAAUCAACUCAACGUUGUAUUGAAACGAUUUUUGUAACAAAAAAGAAGAUUUAUGUUUUUAUGUGAAUGGCAAUAGUGUGUAUAAACAAACGAAAAAAAGGAUGUCGAGUUUCGUGUGGUUUUAAUUUCUUUUAACUAACCUGUUUUAUUAUAAAUUGGAGAAAAUAUUAUUCAUCUUCCUCAUGCUCUAUUGAGACAUGCGUCUGAUGUAUUAAUAAGAGGAUAAAAUUUCGAUAUUUAUCUGCCAUAGGAUACAUGAACUUAUACAUGAUACACACACAUCGUAUUGAAGUUCUUGUAUAAUUUUGUCUGUCUUAUGCUUACUUUUCAAAAAACAUAAUUUUUGUAAUUUUUUGAAGUUUUUAGUAACUUCUUCAGUUACAAAAUUUAGAAAAUAUCAAAUAUUUUGAUAAAAUAUUAUUUCAAAUCUAAAUAAUAUUUUCUAACUUUAUUCUAAUAUUAAAAAAUAUUAGAAUAAUAUUACCAUUUGUUUUUAAAUAUAGUUGAUCAGACUCCCGUUUCAUUAUCUUUACUUAGUUUUUUCACCAUCUUCACCAGACCAUGCUGAAUGCCUGCUUAAAUAAUAUUGUAUACAAAUGUGACUGCAGUGCAAUAAUGCUAUUGUGGCUGCACAACAUUCCUACCACUAUUUAUAUCAUAUCACACACACACACACACACACAUAUAUAUAUAUGUGUGUGUGUGUGUGUGUGUGUGUGUGUGUGUGUGUGUGUGUGUGUGUGUGUGUGUGUGUGUGUGUGUGUGUGUGUGUGUGUGUGUGUGUGUGUGUUAUCGAUGCCGGAAAAGUGCAGGGGGUCCAAGGUUGGACCAAUUAUAUUUUGAAUCUAGAUAAUGACAUUUCCUUGCUCAGGAUUUGCCAGACUCAAAUAUGUCUAUUGGCCGACGACACUGCCCUCAUGAGCACCAGUGCAUCCGAACUGGUAAUAGAACAACGAAACAAAUACUUUGGCUGAUGGUUAAUCAUGUGAAAAAUAAAAUUUAACGCUCACAAAUGUUAAUAAGUUAUUUUCGGCAGAAGAAAAAUAGUUCCGAUCCUCCCAAAAGUAUAUAGAAAAUCCAAUUAAAUGGAGCAAUAAUACAAAACACUAAGGAGUAAUACUUGACAACAAAACCUAUAAGGAUCACAUCAGGCGCGUAAGAAACAAAUUUUUGGCCAUGAUAGCGAAAUUAUACUUUUUCUUGGGCAGAAAAGAAAAACUCUCUUUGAGAAACAAGCUCCUGUUCUACAAGGAAAUGCUUAGAUCCAUCAUGAGUUAUGCCUCCCCAGUGUGGGGUGCAAGCACCAAAACACGCAUCAAUAAACUGGAAAACCUACGAAACAUAGUUGCAAGGCAGAUAAAACACUCCCCAUGGUUUAUCUGAAAUAAAUAUAUCAAAAAUAUUUUAACUUUCCCUCCAGAAUAGAAUUCGCUCAAAACCCAGCAAAUAAUUUUUUCAAUAAAAUUCACUCUAAACCCGCAAUUAAAGCAAUACCGACCUACGAUCCCCUCAACCCAAAAAAGAAAAGGAGCCCUCGUGCCCUUGUCCCUAAAUUCAACAGCUGUGCUCCCAGAGCCUGAAAACUCUAGCGGGAAGCAUUGGAAAGGAAACGACACCAUGGAGCUCAUCCUCUCCCCCAACUGCUGGCCGUGCCUUUUCGAGACUUGUGAGGAAAGACCAAAGGGAUGAGGCUGAAAUGAGCAAAGACAAGAUAACAACCAUCUGAACCUGACCAGUUGAGCCGAACACACACCAGGUAUUACACAAAGAUGAUGUGAUCUUGAAGAUUGUAAUCCGUUGAGAUCGGGGAUCCGUCAAGAAACAUCACUACUGUGUUAGCUCAGACUUGCUUGUCGUGUCUAAAUGACUAAGCAACCAUCUACAUUGGUGAUCCGGCUUCUUUGACCACUCUUGCUGUGUGGAUCUGGUGCCUACUUUCCAACCUCGACUCUGCUAGUCUCAGUUUCAUUGAACUCUUCUGGAUGAUUCUACUAUCAGAAAUUUAAAGACAGAUUAUCAUGGAUGAAUAAAUGUUGCUCCAUCUUCUGUCUGCCACACCACGUCAGAAGCAGAUUAAUUGUCGAUCAGGAAAAAAAACAUGUUUCCAGGGUGCUAACAGAGCAAGACAAAUCUUAAAGUGGCAAAUCAUAGGAAAAAUUAAAGUGGGUUCAUAUGGUUUUGUUUGCAUCUGCCUUCUGCCACUCCUACAUCCGAAUUAGAGGAACAGUCGUCCUGGAAAUCAAAAACAUUUUUGAGCUAAUAACAGAAGUUGAAAAAAAAUUUCAAAGUUUUUGAGGACAAAGAAGAUAUUUUUUUUUCUCGUCUACUCCUAAAAAAGUACCGGUCUUCUCACUGAAUGGAAUUAUAUUCAAAAUAUAUGAAGACAACUUCAGCAUUGUACCAUAUGAAAGAACCAGAGUUAAAUACACCACAAGACGACUCACAGUUCUAUGAAAUUUUAUUUUUCAUUUUCUUGUUAUAAAUAAAGCAGUAAAUUCUUUUUCACAUUUCAGAAAAAAAAGUUUAUUUAAUUCAGAUUUUUACACUACUAAUGAUUUACAAAUUGAAAAAAAAAUGUAAUCAUCAUUUUGACCAGUUAUUUUUAUGCUUGAAAAUAAAAAUUUCUACAUUUGUUAAUGAAUAAGAACCUGCAUUUGAAAAUGAUUGUGAAUGUCUUGACAGCUCUUUAACUAUAUUAUUACAAAUCUGUAAUACUGCUUCCCAUCACGGUUAGUUCAAUCACUGGAAGGACUAUUUUAUGAUCAGCCCUAUUGGAUGCUGAUCGGGUGCCGAAUCAAUGAUCUCAGAGCUUGGCGACUUGACAAUAAAAUAUAUAAUACUGGAAUCUUCAAGAAUUUUAAUGGUAGGGCCAAUAGGAACCGAGAUAUGCCUGAUUGUUCCAGAACCUUCUCUGCCCGCCUCUGGGAACUAUAAAAGGCAGCAGUCUCAAGCCGAAGUCAGUCGUGUAUCAAGUUGUCAUCUUGGAAAGAGUCAAAGACGAAUAGUUGGAUCAGUCCAGUUUUGUGAAUCUCAAGCUAUUGCUGAAUUGAGAUGUGUGCCGAGUCUGGGGUUUAUUGUAGAAGCAGCAUGGAAUUGUGUGAGGAGUAACCAGUCAUGCAGUAGUGAGUCGGCAGUCGGAUACAUCUAAAGCGAUGAGACAGCGGAGAAUUGCAGACGUUUGGAGAGACCAUAGAGAGUAGCUACGAAGAUUCCCUCCUCCUUCUGAAUUCUGUCUGGCCGCCUUGUGGGCUGUGGUUGCUAUUACUACAAAUUACUACUUGUGGGCUACUGUUUAUUAUAGUGUGCUGCUGUGUGUUGCAUUUGUUCGUUUCGACUAUAUAUUUGUUGUCUUUGUAUUCGUUUAAUAAAUG